CAGCACCUCAAGUGGACAGGAUGAUUAUUGGGCCUAAAGCAUCCGUAGCCGGCUCAGUAAGUUUUCGGUUAAAUCUGUACGCUUAACGUACAGGCUGCCGGGAAUACUGCAGAGCUAGGGAGUGGGAGAGGUAGAUGGUACUCGGUAGGAAGGGGUAAAAUCCUUUGAUCUAUUGAUGACCACCUGUGGCGAAGGCGGUCUACCAGAACACGUCCGACGGUGAGGGAUGAAAGCUGGGGGAGCAAACCGGAUUAGAUACCCGAGUAGUCC
This 270-nucleotide ribosomal RNA is filed under the name uncultured archaeon. Its description in RNAcentral is "partial 16S ribosomal RNA". It matches the Rfam family "Archaeal small subunit ribosomal RNA", at positions 477 to 747 of the family's 1478-position model. The record is from RNAcentral.